This 310-nucleotide ribosomal RNA is filed under the name Clostridiales bacterium. Its description in RNAcentral is "bacterial SSU rRNA". It matches the Rfam family "Bacterial small subunit ribosomal RNA", at positions 1 to 292 of the family's 1533-position model. The record is from RNAcentral. Lineage: Bacteria; Bacillati; Bacillota; Clostridia; Eubacteriales.
GAACAUAAGAGUUUGAUCCUGGCUCAGGACGAACGCUGGCGGCGUGCUUAACACAUGCAAGUCGAGCGGGGAUACUUGCGGAAGGUCUUCGGACUGGAAGUAAGUAUUCUAGCGGCGGACGGGUGAGUAACGCGUGAACAAUCUGUCCCAGACAGGGGGAUAACAGAUGGAAACAUCUGCUAAUACCGCAUAAGACCACGAGGUCGCAUGGCCAUGAGGUAAAAGGAGCAAUCCGGUUUGGGGUGAGUUCGCGUCCGAUUAGCUAGUUGGUGAGGUAACGGCCCACCAAGGCGACGAUCGGUAGCCGACC